Molecule: ribosomal RNA, 377 nt
Filed under: uncultured bacterium
Lineage: Bacteria
Description: bacterial SSU rRNA
Rfam family: Bacterial small subunit ribosomal RNA
Source: RNAcentral
AGACGAACCGGACGAACGUUAUUCGGAAUUACUGGGCUUAAAGAGUGCGUAGGCGGCUUGGCAGGUUGGGUGUGAAAUCCCUCGGCUCAACCGAGGAACUGCGCUCAAAACCUUCAAGCUUGAGGGAGACAGGGGUGAGCGGAACUGAUGGUGGAGCGGUGAAAUGCGUUGAUAUCAUCAGGAACACCGGUGGCGAAGGCGGCUCACUGGGUCUCUUCUGACGCUGAGGCACGAAAGCUAGGGGAGCGAACGGGAUUAGAUACCCCGGUAGUCCUAGCUGUAAACGAUGAGCACUUGGUCGAGGGGACUUCCACAUCCUCUCGGCCGUAGCGAAAGUGUUAAGUGCUCCGUCUGGGGAGUAUGGUCGCAAGGCUGAA